AACGAACGCUGGCGGCGUGGAUAAGACAUGCAAGUCGAACGGGACUAAAUCUGUAGCAAUACAGGUUUAGUUUAGUGGCGAACGGGUGCGUAACACGUGGGCAAUCUGCCGAGAAGUGGGGGGAUAGCUCGCCGAAAGGCGAAUUAAUACCGCAUAUGAUCAGCUAAGACAUCUUAGCGACAUCAAAGCCGGGGCAACCUGGCGCUUCUUGAUGAGCCCGCGGCCUAUCAGCUAGUUGGUGAGGUAACGGCUCACCAAGGCUAUGACGGGUAGCUGGUCUGAGAGGACGACCAGUCACACU
Molecule: ribosomal RNA, 301 nt
Filed under: uncultured bacterium
Lineage: Bacteria
Description: bacterial SSU rRNA
Rfam family: Bacterial small subunit ribosomal RNA
Source: RNAcentral